This 584-nucleotide ribosomal RNA is filed under the name Heptagenia diabasia. Its description in RNAcentral is "SSU rRNA". It matches the Rfam family "Eukaryotic small subunit ribosomal RNA", at positions 572 to 1122 of the family's 1831-position model. Lineage: Eukaryota; Metazoa; Arthropoda; Insecta; Ephemeroptera; Heptageniidae. The record is from RNAcentral.
AGCCGCGGUAAUUCCAGCUCCAUUGGCGUAUAUUAAAGUUGUUGCGGUUAAAAAGCUCGUAGUUGGAUCUGUGUAUCGGACGGUCGGUUCGCCGCUCGCGUGGUUUGACUGACCGGUUCGGACGUCAUGCCGGUGGGACCUCGGCGCACGGUGUGCCGUAACUUACCCUCCGCGCUGCUCUUAACCGAGUGGAUCGGUGGGCCGGCACGUUUACUUUGAACAAAUUUGAGUGCUCAAAGCAGGCCUUACGUUGCCUGGAAACUGUGUGCAUGGAAUAAUGAAAGAGGACCUUGGUUCUAUUUUGUUGGCUUUCUGAACUCGAGGUAAUGAUUAACAGGGACAGACGGGGGCAUUCGUAUUGCGACGUUAGAGGUGAAAUUCUUGGAUCGUCGCAAGACGGACCGAUGCGAAAGCGUUUGCCAAGAAUGUUUUCGCUAAUCAAGAACGAAAGUUAGAGGUUCGAAGGCGAUUAGAUACCGCCCUAGUUCUAACCAUAAACGAUGUCAGCCAGCGAUGCGCCGAUGUUCCUCCGAUGACACGGCGCGCAACUUCCGGGAAACCAAAGCUUUUGGGUUCCGGGGGAA